GGGAGUAUAGCUCAGUGGUGGAGUGCAUGCUUAGCAUGUAUGAGGUCCUGGGUUCAAUCCCCAGGACUGCCA
This 72-nucleotide transfer RNA is filed under the name Camelus dromedarius (Arabian camel). It matches the Rfam family "tRNA". Rfam says of the family: Transfer RNA (tRNA) molecules are approximately 80 nucleotides in length. Their secondary structure includes four short double-helical elements and three loops (D, anti-codon, and T loops). RNAcentral also lists the same sequence under 1 other name. Lineage: Eukaryota; Metazoa; Chordata; Mammalia; Artiodactyla; Camelidae. The record is from Rfam by way of RNAcentral.